UCUAGAAGGCUGGAAUGCAUCUAGGCUGAAAACUCCGGUGCUCUAGGAUGAGUCUGCGGACUAUCAGGUUGUAGUCAGGGUAAUGACCUGACUAGCCUACGACGGAUACGGGUUGUGAGAGCAAUAACCCGGAGAUGAUAUCUGAGACACGAUAUCAGGCCCUACGGGGCGCAGCAGGCGCGAAAACUUCACACUGUGCGAAAGCACGAUGAGGGAAUCCCAAGUGCUUGCUCGUAAGAGUAAGCUGUUUCUUUGUUUAAAACGCAUUGAGAGUAAGGGCUGGGUAAGACGGGUGCCAGCCGCCGCGGUAAUACCUGCAGCUCUAGUGGUGGCCGCUAUUAUUGGGCCUAAAACGUCCGUAGCCGGUUUAUUCAAUGCCUGGGGUAAUCGUGUAGCUUAACUAUACGAAUUCUGGGUAGACUGAU
Molecule: ribosomal RNA, 425 nt
Filed under: uncultured archaeon
Lineage: Archaea
Description: bacterial SSU rRNA
Rfam family: Archaeal small subunit ribosomal RNA
Source: RNAcentral